RNAcentral lists this ribosomal RNA (506 nucleotides) under uncultured bacterium. RNAcentral describes it as "bacterial SSU rRNA". It matches the Rfam family "Bacterial small subunit ribosomal RNA", at positions 28 to 528 of the family's 1533-position model. The record is from RNAcentral.
GAUGAACGCUAGCGGCGGGCCUAAUACAUGCAAGUUGAACGAGAUUGUUGGUAGCAAUACUGACAUGAAAGUGGCGCACGGGUGCGCAACACGUAUGUAACCUACCUUUAACUGGGGCAUAGCUUCGAGAAAUCGAAAUUAAUACCCCAUAACAUUUAGAAAAGGCAUCUUUUCUUUAUCAAAGUUCCGGCGGUUAAAGAUGGACAUGCGGUGCAUUAGCUUGUUGGUGAGGUAACGGCUCACCAAGGCUACGAUGCAUAGGGGGUCUGAGAGGAUGAUCCCCCANACUGGUACUGAGACACGGACCAGACUCCUACGGGAGGCAGCAGUAGGGAAUAUUGGGCAAUGGACGAAAGUCUGACCCAGCCACGCCGCGUGAAGGAUGACUGCCCCUAUGGGUUGUAAACUUCUUUUGUAUGGGAAGAAAAUUCCGAACGUGUUCGGAGCUGACGGUACCAUAAGAAUAAGCAUCGGCUAACUCCGUGCCAGCAGCCGCGGUAAAGUAG